UGAGGAAUGUUGGGCAAUGCCCGCAAGGGUGACCCAGCAACGCCGCGUGGAGGAUGAAUGUCGUAAGAUUGUAAACUCCUGUUAGAGGGGAAGAAUAGUACCGGUUGGACCGGUAUAUGACUGUACCCUCAGAGAAAGCCCCGGCUAACUACGUGCCAGCAGCCGCGGUAAUACGUAGGGGGCAAGCGUUGUCCGGAUUUACUGGGUGUCAAGGGCGCGCAGGCGGGAUAAAAAGUCAGUGGUGAAAUCCUACAGCUUAACUGUAGAACUGCCUUUGAUACUUUUAUUCUUGAGUUCGGGAGAGAGAGACGGAAUUCCAGGUGUAGUGGUGAAAUACGUAGAUAUCUGGAAGAACACCAGUUGCGAAGGCGGUCUCUUGGUCCGACACUGACGCUGAGGCGCGAAAGCGUGGGGAGCAAACA
RNAcentral lists this ribosomal RNA (422 nucleotides) under uncultured bacterium. RNAcentral describes it as "bacterial SSU rRNA". It matches the Rfam family "Bacterial small subunit ribosomal RNA", at positions 355 to 774 of the family's 1533-position model. The record is from RNAcentral.